Molecule: unclassified non-coding RNA, 442 nt
Filed under: Hevea brasiliensis (rubber tree)
Lineage: Eukaryota; Viridiplantae; Streptophyta; Magnoliopsida; Malpighiales; Euphorbiaceae
Source: RNAcentral
GCCUUUGCUAACAGCCACAUAAUAUAAUUGUUAAAUAGUUCACUUUUGUGAGCACUGCCUGAGCGACAAUUUGGUUUCCAAAAUAGAGCCUAACUGCUUGCUUAAAGAAGCUUCUACUCUUCACUCAUAAGCUGGUACCAAGUUUAUCAUAUAAUUCACUCCUUUAGACAUAUAUGAAAACAAGACAGUAAUUCAUCACCAAAUGAAUGCAAUACGCAAGGACAAUGUUGAAUAGUAAAAUUCUGAUCAGGUUAAUACCUACUGAAAAUGGUGAGAAAAGGAAUAUAAAAACAACAUUUUCAAAAGGGAAACAAAAGAAAGAGUAAAUGUAGGAAAGAGAAUAUUAGAAACUGGAUCUUAAGUGUGUAAAAUAUAUUACAUGGCACCAAUCUCUUGCUUGGGUCUCUCUGUGUGUAGAGACAGAGAUUACCUUAUGAACUAG